This 65-nucleotide transfer RNA is filed under the name Chlorogomphus shanicus. Its description in RNAcentral is "tRNA-Gly". It matches the Rfam family "tRNA". Rfam says of the family: Transfer RNA (tRNA) molecules are approximately 80 nucleotides in length. Their secondary structure includes four short double-helical elements and three loops (D, anti-codon, and T loops). Further hydrogen bonds mediate the characteristic L-shaped molecular structure. tRNAs have two regions of fundamental functional importance: the anti-codon, which is responsible for specific mRNA codon recognition, and the 3' end, to which the tRNAs corresponding amino acid is attached (by aminoacyl-tRNA synthetases). tRNAs cope with the degeneracy of the genetic code in two manners: having more than one tRNA (with a specific anti-codon) for a particular amino acid; and 'wobble' base-pairing, i.e. permitting non-standard base-pairing at the 3rd anti-codon position. The record is from RNAcentral. Lineage: Eukaryota; Metazoa; Arthropoda; Insecta; Odonata; Chlorogomphidae.
AUUUGUUUAGUAUAAAAGUAUAUUUGACUUCCAAUCAAAAGGACUGGAUUGUUUCAGAACAAAUA